Molecule: long non-coding RNA, 225 nt
Filed under: Homo sapiens (human)
Lineage: Eukaryota; Metazoa; Chordata; Mammalia; Primates; Hominidae
Description: HSALNT0288287
Source: RNAcentral
GUGUUCCCUGCGAAAGAGAGGCCACCGCCCUGCCCCGAUCCGACCCUGUCCCAACCCCGCAUCCUAAAGCUCCUCCAGCAGAGUCCGGUAUUCUUCCUCGCUGAAGGGUGCUUCCAGCAAGGCGGCCUCUUCGAAGGCCUCCAGCUCCCCCGGGGCCUCCGUUUCUAGGAAAGGUUGCGCCUGCUGCAGAAACUCCGGGCUCGCCAGGAGCUCAUCCAGCAGCAG